UUUUCGCUGCUGCCGCUGUCAAUAAUCACGUUGCACACAGUUUUGUUGAUAGUGCAGCAAGUUUUGAAGAUGCUGUGGCGUUGCGAUUCUUCUUCAUUCUUCGGGGCAAAUAAAAUUCGCUGAACUACAAAGGAGGCCGGAACUCCCUGAUCCGGCGCCGUCACCUCGACGUCUUCAUCGUCGGUCUGCCCCUCUUCAUGAUCCUCCUCCUCAUGCGGCAUUUCUUCUUCA
This 231-nucleotide long non-coding RNA is filed under the name Phoenix dactylifera (date palm). RNAcentral's name for it is "long non-coding RNA (PDAC_LNC018587)". Lineage: Eukaryota; Viridiplantae; Streptophyta; Magnoliopsida; Arecales; Arecaceae. The record is from RNAcentral.